This 496-nucleotide ribosomal RNA is filed under the name uncultured bacterium. Its description in RNAcentral is "bacterial SSU rRNA". It matches the Rfam family "Bacterial small subunit ribosomal RNA", at positions 29 to 524 of the family's 1533-position model. The record is from RNAcentral.
AGCGAACGCUGGCGGUAUGCUUAACACAUGCAAGUCGUGCGCGAAGUUUACUUCGAGCGGCGAACGGGUGAGUAACACGUACCCAACCUACCCUUAAGACUGGGAUAACUUCUGGAAACGGAAGCUAAUACCGGAUAGGUAAUGGAGUCUUAUGACACUAUUAUUAAAGCAGCGUUUGCUGCACUGAAGGAUGGGGAUGCGCAGCAUUAGAUAGUUGGUGAGGUAAUGGCUCACCAAGUCCACGAUGCUUAGCCGGCCUGAGAGGGUGAUCGGCCACACUGGAACUGAGACACGGUCCAGACUCCUACGGGAGGCAGCAGUAGGGAAUCUUCGACAAUGGGCGCAAGCCUGAUCGAGCAACGCCGCGUAAGGGAUGAAGGUCUUCGGAUCGUAAACCUCUGUUAUAAGGGAAGAACAGCUAGGGUAGGAAUGGCCUUAGUAUGACGGUACCUUAUCAGAAAGCUACGGCUAACUACGUGCCAGCAGCCGCCGUAAU